ACUCUUUCUUGCUGUAUUCUGUGAUGUGACUUCUUCACACAGUGGGAGAAAAGCAAAGCAGUGUUUGAGUAAAUGAGCAGAGUAAUGAGAAGAAGAUUUGUAUGAGCGUCAAUUUUUAAUGGCUGCAUUGCAGUACUGCACCAUAACUCCCUGUUCUGAAAACAAGAAACUUUCUUUUGACACAGCAAGCUUAAGUUUCCUUUGGUAUACUUGCAAUGGACUGCCAUGGAUGAAGAGCAUUACCUAUCCCUCCCAGUUUGGUGUCAUCUGCAAACUUGAUGAUCAUGCCUUCUAACCCUUCAUCUAAGUCAUUAAUAAAGAUGUUGAACAGAACCGGGCCCAGGAUGGAACCCUGUGGCACUCCACCCGUCACUUCUUUUCAGGAUGACGAAGACGCAUUGGUAACAAAACAUCUCGGGUCCUCCACAGACUUCAGUCCAUAUACAGUGGAAUUUAUUUUUGAAUGGCUAUCAAUUCCAUAGUUCCUUUAUGGCAAAGCCUUUGGUGACAUGGGACCCAAAAGAAGAGAAUUAAAAAAAAAUAAACUUGAUCAAUGCUAAA
Molecule: long non-coding RNA, 561 nt
Organism: Anolis carolinensis (green anole)
Lineage: Eukaryota; Metazoa; Chordata; Lepidosauria; Squamata; Anolidae
Exons: 4
Source: RefSeq, a predicted model, not a curated record